AUACGUAGGGGGCGAGCGUUGUCCGGAAUGAUUGGGCGUAAAGGGCGCGUAGGCGGCCCGGUAAGUCUGGAGUGAAAGUCCUGUUUUUAAGCUGGGAAUUGCUUUGGAUACUGUCGGGCUUGAGUGCAGGAGAGGUAAGUGGAAUUCCCAGUGUAGCGGUGAAAUGCGUAGAGAUUGGGAGGAACACCAGUGGCGAAGGCGACGGACUGGACUGUAACUGACGCUGUGGCGCGAAAAUGUGGGGGGCAAACAGGAUGAGAUACCCUGGGAGUCCACACUGUAAACGAUGUAUGCUAUGUGUAGGGGUUAUAUUCUCCCUAUGGGCCGCAGUUAACACAAUAAGUAUGCCGCCUGGGGAGUACGGCCGCAAGGUUGAAACUCAAAUGAAUUGACGGGG
This 397-nucleotide ribosomal RNA is filed under the name uncultured bacterium. Its description in RNAcentral is "partial 16S ribosomal RNA". It matches the Rfam family "Bacterial small subunit ribosomal RNA", at positions 523 to 918 of the family's 1533-position model. The record is from RNAcentral.